Long non-coding RNA from Pseudophryne corroboree (corroboree frog), 580 nucleotides. RefSeq lists it as uncharacterized. The record is from RefSeq and is a predicted model, not a curated record. NCBI's taxonomy places the organism in Eukaryota, Metazoa, Chordata, Amphibia, Anura, Myobatrachidae. The transcript is spliced from 3 exons.
UCACUUUACUGCAUUUUGCAGCAGGAGGAGGAGGAGCAACAACAACAAUGGUGCAGUUCACAGCAAAUUGUCUCAUCACAGCCCUGCCUGCCCACUUCACUGCAGAGUGAAUGGGAUGCAGAGGGUUUCUACUCUCCUGGUAUCCUUGAAAACGUUCCUGAUCUAUGGAAGUCUCAGGGCCACCUGGGUUAGGCACUAAGAGGAAGGAAGCACCAGAAGAUCAGAUGAAAGUCACCGUCAGCUGAUCACCAGACCCAGAAGACACAACUGGAGCACCAAGUCAGGAAUAACUGCGACUGAGCAUAUGGAUUUUCUGAAGAUAACUGUGAGAUUUGUUACAGCACUCGGCUAAAAGCAUCACCACUUAAGAAAGUGCUAUAAUAUGUUUGUGGAACAUAUGUGUCCCCGUAUGAGCCUCACUUAUAGUUAGGGUGACCCAGCCUGAUCCUGGAAGACGUGCAGAGUGCAGACGGCAGUGUGACAUCCAUUUUUGCAAAUCCAAUUGCAACUACUGAGAGUUUAAUGCAGGCUUAUGAUGGCACAGUCAUUUUAGGUAACAUUACUGCUUUUUGUAAUUUGC